AAGGCCUGUGAAGCUCCUGCUCAGCUGCUUACUGCCCCCCGGACCCCGCCGUGACCGCCGGCCCAGAGCCAGGCCCAGCAGAGGGGGCUGUGCUGGCACCGUCAAGACCUGGUAGCAGACCCACAGAGGCCCCGACGUAAACCCAGACCCAAAUGUAAACCCGGGCCUCAGACGUCAACCUCGGCCCUGAGGUGGGCGGAGCUCCGGCCUGGAGAGGCGAUCCCGGUCUGCGGAGGGCGCGCAGAGCGAGGAUGGCGCCGUGGUCUCCAGAAGCGCCUGGCGGCCCCGUGCGUCCGGGGUCCGCCCCUCAACGGCGCCACGACCAGCACCCGGCACUCGCACCGAGACCCUCACGCCGAGACCCGUCUAUGUCCAGCAGAGACUCACGCUGCCCAAGUCCCAGGAAAAAGAUGAACUGAGUAAACCUUGUCUGAGAAAGUGGUGGAGCCGCCUUUUCUCUCCCACUCCACUCCUAAUGUUCAAUUACUUUGUGCAGAGAGCCUGCAAUGGGUGCCGUGGGUUCUCAGCCGGGAUCCUCCAGGACCCUCCCUAUCAUUCCUGUGCUCAGCCCUAGCCUCUGUGUUCUGACAUCUGGUUGACUCCACCUGCUUCCUUAGAGCUGCUUUGUCUGCAGAACACAGGGAACGCCUGCAAGUGUGGUCCCUGGGGCAGCCCUU
RNAcentral lists this long non-coding RNA (677 nucleotides) under Equus caballus (horse). Its description in RNAcentral is "lncRNA (ENSECAG00000054834.1)". Lineage: Eukaryota; Metazoa; Chordata; Mammalia; Perissodactyla; Equidae. The record is from RNAcentral.